AGAUGCGCCCCAAAUCCCUAGCCGCCGCCGCCGCCGCCGCGUCGGGCUGCGCGCUGAAUCCCUCGCCGCCGGCUCCGCCUCCUCCAAUCUCUCGCAUGUCCCCUCUGCCAUGUUUGUAGGGUCGUCGACCAUGGAACGACCCCUUCCGGAAUAUCGCCGUCAACCUCCCUACUGCCUCCGCGGGGAGGGUCUCCGUCAAUGUCGCUGCCACUGCCGUCACUCGACCGCCGUAGCAUCCUUCUUUGAGUACCACCCCGUUCCAUCCAGGGAACUCUUUCCUGAAGCGCAUUGCUUUGGUUCGCUCUGUCCAGAAUAAUGCACUGAAAAUGAAAAUAAUGCAGGGAACGCGUCAUGAAAUAGCAGUUGCGUUGCAAGUACAAUUCACAUCAUCAGUGCAACAGAGAGGUUAAAGAUGAGGUUGAGGUUAUCACUUGGCGUCAAGAAAUUGUAUAAUAUUCCUCCAAAUGAAGUGCUCAUGAUUAGGAGCAAAAUUCAAGAUCCGGGAUCCACGUGAGAUGCAAGAGCCUUUGCUCUAUUCAAGGAUUUAGGAAGCAUUGACCAGCUGCAUGGCAAGUACAACGAGCAUUAUCAGUACAACAAGGAGAUUCAAUCAAGGCAAGAAAUUCUACCAUAUUGUUCUGAAUGAAGAGGGUAACCUUGAAGAGCAGCUUGCAACUUAAGCUGCAGCAAGGCAUUAUAGAAAAUGAGGUCUCAUGUUGGACCUCUGUUUUUGUUAGCCUUUGAUUCAUGUAAAUUCUAUGGAAUUGUAUAUGUGAAUUAUGGUUGACGUAAACUAUUGAAA
This is a long non-coding RNA of Triticum dicoccoides, 802 nucleotides long. RefSeq lists it as uncharacterized. The record is from RefSeq and is a predicted model, not a curated record. NCBI's taxonomy places the organism in Eukaryota, Viridiplantae, Streptophyta, Magnoliopsida, Poales, Poaceae. The transcript has 6 exons.